This 334-nucleotide unclassified non-coding RNA is filed under the name soil metagenome. Its description in RNAcentral is "partial contains 5.8S ribosomal RNA, internal transcribed spacer 2, and large subunit ribosomal RNA". The stretch from base 1 to 120 matches the Rfam family "5.8S ribosomal RNA", at positions 35 to 154 of the family's 154-position model. The record is from RNAcentral.
GAUGAAGAACGUAGCGGAAUGCGAUAAGUAAUGUGAAUUGCAGAAUUCAGUGAAUCAUCGAAUCUUUGAACGCACAUUGCGCCCGCCAGUAUUCUGGCGGGCAUGCCUGUUCGAGCGUCAUUUCAACCAUCAAGCCCUGCUUGCGUUGGGGUCCUGCGGCUGCCCGCAGGCCCUGAAAACCAGUGGCGGGCUCGCUAGUCACACCGAGCGCAGUAAUACAUCUCGCUUUGGGCGUGCGGCGGGUUCUUGCCGUUAAACACCCCCUUUUUACCAAGGUUGACCUCGGAUCAGGUAGGAAUACCCGCUGAACUUAAGCAUAUCAAUAAGCGGAGGA